GGGAACCUGCCAGUAGAUUUCCAUUUUUUAUGCAACAGAGAAAUGAGAAUUUAGCAUCCCUCAAACUGACACUUUUUAAUAGCAAACUGGGAAGCAACCUUCCCCUAGCACUCCCCAGCAGGUCACAGCUGUAUCUUGCUUUCCACUCUUACGUAUUUUACAUCUUUCCAGACAAUUACAACUUACUAUUUCUGUUAAGUUCACCACUUGUGACUAUAAUUAUCAAUUUUCUUGUAGUCUGUAGAGAUCUAAAACGUUGUAUAUGUUUGUAUAUAGAACAUUCUAUAUAUAUAAAUAUAUAUAUGUAAUGUAUAUGUUGUAUAAGUUUGUUAGUGCACACUGUUAAAUGCUUUCUAUCCAGAUUUACCAUGUAUGUGGAAAAAAACAAACAGCCUUCACUUAAAAACAUCAAUGAGGGAGGAGAAACUCCUCUGGCCUGGUUGGUUUAUUGUGAAAUGAGGGGGAGUGUGGGAUUUUUGAGGCCUGACCCAAACGCUACUGAAGGCACAAAGAUGCAGCAUUCCAAGCAACAAGCACAGCAUCUGACCCGACUUGCCAUUAGAAAAUUGAGGACACUGGCUGUCAAAAUCAUGUGCUUUCACCUUCCCCCCUAAGACAGCACCACCUCAGGCAAAAUCCUAACCAUAGCCUUAUCUUCAACAUCACAACCCUCUGUUACAAUAGACCACAGUGGCUGGAAAUAUUAGCUGAAUUUCAGAUGCAUUUAGGUCAUUUGGAUACCCUGUUCCCUCAGCUCUCUAUCCCACCCACAUCCAAAACCAGAUACAAACACACACACCUGGGGUCAACCAGAUGUUUUUAAACUUAUGCCUACAGCUGUAGGUAGACAGAGUAUGCAGAGAAAAUGCAUGAGGUUAUUUAUAAGGUUUCAGAGUUGACAAGUCCUCAAUGAAUUACAAGCUAUUUGAUUAAAAAAGAAUGAAAUCCAUUUCCUAGAGCCUUAAAUUCAGUUUCAAAUCUUGAAUUAAAAAACAUGAUUAAGGAAAAUUUGAGAAACAGGUUUUGGUUUGUAUCAUUAACUGUUCUCUAAAUUCUUUUUACAGUUCUGCAUUUCAACUAUUUAUAUCAAUUAGAUAUUUCUUCUAUUACCAAAAUAUAGCUUGUUAUACAAAUAUUUAACAGAAACACUCUAUUUACUACCCAUAAAAUUAUCACAUACAGAAAUUCUCUUAAACAGUUUACAUAUUCCUCUAGAGAAGCCCUUUCACACCACAAUGUGUGCAUUGUAAUGAAGAUAUACAUACAAAAAUGGUUUUAUCAGUAUACAAUUUAAGAAGAAAGCACUGCAGCUUAAAGAGCAGCAGUGUCAGCCUCAGGACUCCUCCAUAUAUAAACUGUGUGUAUUGUAACACAGGCAAACCCCUCAGAUUUCAGCUACUCAAAUCCCCACCCUGUGCCCCCCCCCAUACAGCCUUCUCCAUAGCCUAAAGGUGAAUUCAAGCACAGUAUGUUUCAGUCUACAGUGUUCUUCUGCCUUGGCAUGGUCUUAGUAAGAACACACUCUCUCUCAUUAAGGAACUACGUGUGGCCAUUUGUAGUCAACUCUUCAUCUUAGGUGUAUAAGCAAUAGUCACGUAAAUGAGUGUUUCCAUUCAUGUGUUUUGUUUUGUGAUUAAGUCAACAAAUCGAACAUUGUACUUUUUUAAAUAGCAACCAAUAUUCAGAUUCAGUGUCAAGGAAACAUGGACAGAAUAUGUGUGGGGUUUGUUACCGAGUGAGUCAUUACCUGUAUCUCGGGACGAAGGCUGAACACUCCUGCACUAACCAUGGCCUGUUUGCACAGGUAUCGUCAGGCAGCGUCACAAAAGGAAAACCAAGGCAUCUUUAACUGAGGCUGUUUUGAGUCCCCAGUAACAACCAAAAAAAAUAAAAAGAGGGAAGGAAAAUAAAGGCAAGAAUUGAUAUUG
This 1928-nucleotide long non-coding RNA is filed under the name Strigops habroptila (Kakapo). RNAcentral's name for it is "lncRNA (ENSSHBG00005008546.1)". The record is from RNAcentral. Lineage: Eukaryota; Metazoa; Chordata; Aves; Psittaciformes; Psittacidae.